GACAGAGGGUGCAAACGUUGCUCGGAAUUACUGGGCGUAAAGCGCGUGUAGGUGGAUUGGUGUGUCAGAUGUGAAAGCCCUGGGCUUAACCCAGGAAUUGCAUUUGAAACUACCAGUCUUGAGUGGUGGAGAGGGAAGUGGAAUUCCUGGUGUAGAGGUGAAAUUCGUAGAUAUCAGGAGGAACACCAGUGGCGAAGGCGGCUUCCUGGACACCAACUGACGCUGAGACGCGAAAGCGUGGGGAGCAAACAGG
Molecule: ribosomal RNA, 253 nt
Filed under: uncultured bacterium
Lineage: Bacteria
Description: partial 16S ribosomal RNA
Rfam family: Bacterial small subunit ribosomal RNA
Source: RNAcentral